GUUAUUUAAUUAAUGUAAGUGAUGGGUUGUGAAAUGUAUAACCCAUUUUGGGUUAUUAUAUGGGUAUUGGGUUAUUAACUGGGUUAUUGUUGUGAACCCAUGCAUUGGGUUAAACCUUGGUUAAAGACAGUUCAGUUAUAUACUAUCUUUACAUCAACCCAACAAACAUUAGUUAACCCAUCACCUGGGUUGUUUAUGUUUUGAACGUCUCCACGUCAUACGUCAUGACAUCGAUUACUUCAAACGGAGCACUGGACGGCAAUCUAACCGAUCGUCGUUGACCCAGCAAUCAAAGUGGCAAGGUCAAUGGACAGUUUUGUGGUGGACAAACUAACUCGAUGGCAGCUGACAGACCUUAUUGAUAUUUUUAAAGACAGUUUGGGAGUUUCUCCAAGAUGGAGUGUACGGAAUGGAAGGAGAUGAGUCUAAACCUGUUAAGUUUUUACGUGCAGCAAUACUUGCUUGUAAAUAGACAGUGGAUGUGUUUGUUUGUUUUGUUCUGCUGAGAGUUGAC
This is a long non-coding RNA of Melanotaenia boesemani (Boeseman's rainbowfish), 514 nucleotides long. RefSeq lists it as uncharacterized. The record is from RefSeq and is a predicted model, not a curated record. The transcript has 3 exons. Lineage: Eukaryota; Metazoa; Chordata; Actinopteri; Atheriniformes; Melanotaeniidae.